CAGCCGCCGCGGUAAUACGUAGGGUGCAAGCGUUAAUCGGAAUUACUGGGCGUAAAGCGUGCGCAGGCGGUUAUAUAAGACAGAUGUGAAAUCCCCGGGCUCAACCUGGGAACUGCAUUUGUGACUGUAUAGCUAGAGUACGGCAGAGGGGGAUGGAAUUCCGCGUGUAGCAGUGAAAUGCGUAGAUAUGCGGAGGAACACCGAUGGCGAAGGCAAUCCCCUGGGCCUGUACUGACGCUCAUGUACGAAAGCGUGGGGAGCAAACAGGAUUAGAUACCCCUGUAGUCCCUGUCUCUUAUAC
This 301-nucleotide ribosomal RNA is filed under the name uncultured bacterium. RNAcentral's name for it is "partial 16S ribosomal RNA". It matches the Rfam family "Bacterial small subunit ribosomal RNA", at positions 509 to 807 of the family's 1533-position model. The record is from RNAcentral.